AUACAUGCAAGUCGAGCGAACUGAUUAGAAGCUUGCUUCUAUGACGUUAGCGGCGGACGGGUGAGUAACACGUGGGCAACCUGCCUGUAAGACUGGGAUAACUUCGGGAAACCGAAGCUAAUACCGGAUAGGAUCUUCUCCUUCAUGGGAGAUGAUUGAAAGAUGGUUUCGGCUAUCACUUACAGAUGGGCCCGCGGUGCAUUAGCUAGUUGGUGAGGUAACGGCUCACCAAGGCAACGAUGCAUAGCCGACCUGAGAGGGUGAUCGGCCACACUGGGACUGAGACACGGCCCAGACUCCUACGGGAGGCAGCAGUAGGGAAUCUUCCGCAAUGGACGAAAGUCUGACGGAGCAACGCCGCGUGAGUGAUGAAGGCUUUCGGGUCGUAAAACUCUGUUGUUAGGGAAGAACAAGUACAAGAGUAACUGCUUGUACCUUGACGGUACCUAACCAGAAAGCCACGGCUAACUACGUGCCAGCAGCCGCGGUAAUACGUAGGUGGCAAGCGUUAUCCGGAAUUAUUGGGCGUAAAGCGCGCGCAGGCGGUUUCUUAAGUCUGAUGUGAAAGCCCACGGCUCAACCGUGGAGGGUCAUUGGAAACUGGGGAACUUGAGUGCAGAAGAGAAAAGCGGAAUUCCACGUGUAGCGGUGAAAUGCGUAGAGAUGUGGAGGAACACCAGUGGCGAAGGCGGCUUUUUGGUCUGUAACUGACGCUGAGGCGCGAAAGCGUGGGGAGCAAACAGGAUUAGAUACCCUGGUAGUCCACGCCGUAAACGAUGAGUGCUAAGUGUUAGAGGGUUUCCGCCCUUUAGUGCUGCAGCUAACGCAUUAAGCACUCCGCCUGGGGAGUACGGUCGCAAGACUGAAACUCAAAGGAAUUGACGGGGGCCCGCACAAGCGGUGGAGCAUGUGGUUUAAUUUCGAAGCAACGCGAAGAACCUUACCAGGUCUUGACAUCCUCUGACAACUCUAGAGAUAGAGCGUUCCCCUUCGGGGGACAGAGUGACAGGUGGUGCAUGGGUUGUCGUCAGCUCG
Molecule: ribosomal RNA, 1035 nt
Filed under: Priestia megaterium
Lineage: Bacteria; Bacillati; Bacillota; Bacilli; Caryophanales; Bacillaceae
Description: bacterial SSU rRNA
Rfam family: Bacterial small subunit ribosomal RNA
Source: RNAcentral